Molecule: long non-coding RNA, 655 nt
Filed under: Jatropha curcas
Lineage: Eukaryota; Viridiplantae; Streptophyta; Magnoliopsida; Malpighiales; Euphorbiaceae
Description: long non-coding RNA (JCUR_LNC001994)
Source: RNAcentral
AAGGAGAAUCAACCACGCGGUCUGAAACUACAACCUUCUCUACCCUGUCUCCCAGUACAUCCUUGAUAACCUUGCAAAGACCCUCAAAUUUCUCUUUCUGUUCUUCCUUCCUUUUCUUUUCAUCUUCACUCUCAUCAAUUUUCAAACCCUCCUUGGUUGCAGAGACAAGCUUCUUCCCCUCAAACUCCUUGAGCUGACCAACUGCAUACUCAUCAAUAGCAUCAACCAUGAAAAGGACUUCAUAUCCCUUCUUCUUCAGCUUCUCAAGGAAUGGGGAGUUCUCAACAGCCUUCUUGCUCUCACCAGUAAUGUAAUAGAUAUCACUCUGACCUUCCUUCAUUCUAGUGACAUAGUCCUUGAGACUCGUCAAUUCAUCGCCACUCUUGGUGGAGUGGUAUCGGAGCAGCUCAGCAAGCUUUGUCUUGUUAGUGGAGUCCUCAUGGAUACCCAACUUGAGAUUCUUAGAGAAUGACUCAUAGAAUUUGUUAUAAUCUUCCUUGUUCUCAGCAAUCUCAAAGAAAAGCUCAAUGCACUUCUUCACUAAGUUCUUGCGGAUAACUUUGAGAAUCUUGUUCUGCUGCAACAUCUCUCUUGAAAUGUUCAAAGGAAGAUCCUCAGAAUCAACAAUACCCUUUACAAAUCCAAGAUACUCAGG